RNAcentral lists this ribosomal RNA (398 nucleotides) under uncultured bacterium. RNAcentral describes it as "partial 16S ribosomal RNA". It matches the Rfam family "Bacterial small subunit ribosomal RNA", at positions 523 to 918 of the family's 1533-position model. The record is from RNAcentral.
AUACGUAGGGCGCGAGCGUUGUCCGGAAUUACUGGGCGUAAAGAGCUCGUAGGUGGUUUGUCGCGUCGUCUGUGAAAUUCCGGGGCUUAACUCCGGGCGUGCAGGCGAUACGGGCAUAACUUGAGUACUGUAGGGGAGACUGGAAUUCCUGGGGUAGCGGUGAAAUGCGCAGAUAUCAGGAGGAACACCGGUGGCGAAGGCGGGUCUCUGGGCAGUAACUGACGCUGAGGAGCGAAAGCAUGGGUAGCGAACAGGAUUAGAUACCCUGGUAGUCCAUGCCGUAAACGGUGGGCGCUAGGUGUAGGGGUCUUCCACGACUUCUGUGCCGUAGCUAACGCAUUAAGCGCCCCGCCUGGGGAGUACGGCCGCAAGGCUAAAACUCAAAGGAAUUGACGGGG